This 429-nucleotide ribosomal RNA is filed under the name Acidobacteriota bacterium. RNAcentral's name for it is "Acidobacteria bacterium partial 16S ribosomal RNA". It matches the Rfam family "Bacterial small subunit ribosomal RNA", at positions 355 to 776 of the family's 1533-position model. Lineage: Bacteria; Pseudomonadati; Acidobacteriota. The record is from RNAcentral.
UGGGGAAUUUUGGACAAUGGGGGAAACCCUGAUCCAGCCAUCCCGCGUGUGCGAUGAAGGCCUUCGGGUUGUAAAGCACUUUUGGCAGGAAAGAAACGUCAUGGGUUAAUACCCCGUGAAACUGACGGUACCUGCAGAAUAAGCACCGGCUAACUACGUGCCAGCAGCCGCGGUAAUACGUAGGGUGCAAGCGUUAAUCGGAAUUACUGGGCGUAAAGCGUGCGCAGGCGGUUCGGAAAGAAAGAUGUGAAAUCCCAGAGCUCAACUUUGGAACUGCAUUUUUAACUACCGGGCUAGAGUGUGUCAGAGGGAGGUGGAAUUCCGCGUGCAGCAGUGAAAUGCGUAGAUAUGCGGAGGAACGCCGAUGGCGAAGGCAGCCUCCUGGGAUAACACUGACGCUCAUGCACGAAAGCGUGGGGAGCAAACAGG